GACGAACGCUGGCGGCGUGCUUAACACAUGCAAGUCGAACGAAAAUACCAAGCUUGCUUGGUUGAUUAGUGGCGAACGGGUGAGUAACACGUGAGUAACCUGCCCCUUACUUUCCUGGAUAACUGCUCGAAAGGGUAGCUAAUACGGGAUAUUCUGACCAGCCUGCAUGGGUUGGUUUGGAAAGGUUGUUUUUCUGGUAAGGGAUGGGCUCGCGGCCUAUCAGCUUGUUGGUGGGGUGAUGGCCUACCAAGGCUUUGACGGGUAGCCGGCCUGAGGGGGUGGACGGUCACACUGGGACUGAGAUACGGCCCAGACUCCUACGGGAGGCAGCAGUGGGGAAUAUUGCACAAUGGGCGCAAGCCUGAUGCAGCGACGCCGCGUGAGGGAUGAAGGCCUUCGGGUUGUAAACCUCUUUCGUCAGGGAACAAGGCACUGCUUUUUUGGUGGUGUUGAGGGUACCUGGAUAAGAAGCGCCGGCUAACUACGUG
This 488-nucleotide ribosomal RNA is filed under the name uncultured bacterium. RNAcentral's name for it is "partial 16S ribosomal RNA". It matches the Rfam family "Bacterial small subunit ribosomal RNA", at positions 28 to 507 of the family's 1533-position model. The record is from RNAcentral.